This 492-nucleotide ribosomal RNA is filed under the name uncultured bacterium. Its description in RNAcentral is "partial 16S ribosomal RNA". It matches the Rfam family "Bacterial small subunit ribosomal RNA", at positions 29 to 507 of the family's 1533-position model. The record is from RNAcentral.
AGUGAACGCUGGCGGUAGGCCUAACACAUGCAAGUCGAACGGCAGCACAGUAAGAGCUUGCUCUUACGGGUGGCGAGUGGCGGACGGGUGAGGAAUACAUCGGAAUCUACUUUUUCGUGGGGGAUAACGUAGGGAAACUUACGCUAAUACCUCAUACGACCUACGGGUGAAAGCAGGGGAUCUUCGGACCUUGCGCGAUUGAAUGAGCCGAUGUCGGAUUAGCUAGUUGGCGGGGUAAAGGCCCACCAAGGCGACGAUCCGUAGCUGGUCUGAGAGGAUGAUCAGCCACACUGGAACUGAGACACGGUCCAGACUCCUACGGGAGGCAGCAGUGGGGAAUAUUGGACAAUGGGCGCAAGCCUGAUCCAGCCAUACCGCGUGGGUGAAGAAGGCCUUCGGGUUGUAAAGCCCUUUUGUUGGGAAAGAAAAGCAGCAGGUUAAUACCCCGCUGUUCUGACGGUACCCAAAGAAUAUGCACCGGCUAACUUCGUG